CACAGACAAAACCACUCAGACACCGGGUUAAGAAGGAAGUGGCUUUAUUUGGCCAGGAGCAUCAGCAGACUUGCAUGUCAAGAACUGAGCUCUCUGAAGAAAGAGUUCCUGGCCCUUUUAAGAACUUACAACUCUAAGGGGUUCACGUGAAAGGGUUGUGAUAGAUUGACAUUCAGAGAUAGCAUAUGUGAUUAGAGGGGGGCUAAUCUUUAACCUCUCUCUUCAUUCCCCCAUUUGAGAACCUUACUCACUAGUGGGAGGUCUCACUCUCAUCUUCACUACCCAGGUCUUUCUGCAAGACAGAUCGACAGUGAUUCAUGUAAUACACUUGUGUAUUACAAGACAUUCAUGUAAUACAUUUGUGCUGAAGUUUUCUGAUGAACCAAGGUAGUAACAAAACUUCUUAGAAGUUGGAGAAAUAUGGGUAACAAACAAAGGAGCAAUAGGAGGGUUGCAGCUGGAGAUCUGGGGAGGAGCUGGUGUUUUUUAGUUUGAGGGUCAUGCAGCUAUAGACCCUGGGAGGAGCAGGAGUUUCUUUAGUUUGAGGGUUGGGCAGCUGCAGAACCCGGGAGAAUCUGAUGUUCUGGUUUGAGGGUCCUGCAGCUGGAGACCCAGAGAGCAGCUGGUGUUUCUUUAGUUUGAUGGCCGUGCAGCUGUAGAACCCAGGGGGAGCUGGUAUUUUUCUAGUAUGAGUGUCCUGCAGCUGGAGACCUGGAGAAGAGCUGAUGUUCUAGUUUGAGGGUCGUGCCGCUGAAGACUCAGGGAGAAGCUGAUGUUCUCGUUUGAGGAUACUGCAGCUGGAGACCUGGAGAGGAGCUGAUGUUAUUCUAGUUUGAGGAUCAUGGAGCUUGAGAUCCACAGAGGAGCAGGUAUUGUUCUAGAUUGAGGUUCAUGUAGCUGAAGACCUGGGGAGCAGCGGGUGUUUUUUAGUUUGAGGGUCAUGCAGCUGUAGAACCCGGGAGGAGCUGGUGUUUUUCUAGUAUGAGUGUCCUGCAGCUGGAGACCUGGAGAGGAGCUGAUGUUGUUCUAGUUUGAGGGUUGUGCAGCUGAAGACUUGGAGGGGAGCUGAUGUUGUUCUUGUUGAGGGUCUUUCAGCUGGAGACCCAGAGAGGAGCUGAUGUGGUUCUAGUUUAAGGGUCAUGGAGCUGGAGACCCAGAGAGGAGCUGGUGUUGUUCUGAUUUGAGGUUCAUGCAGCUGGAGACUUGGAGAGGAGCUGAUGUUGUUCUAGUUUGAGGGUCAGGCAACUGAAGACCCGGGGAGGAGCUGAUGUUGUUCUAGUUUGAGGUUCAUGCAGCUGGAGACCUGGGGAGCAGCGGGUGUUUUUUAGUUUGAGGGUCAUGCAGCUGUAGAACCCGGGAGGAGCUGGCGUUUUUCUAAUAUGAGUAUCCUGCAGCUGGAGACCAGGAGAGUUGCUGAUGUUCUAGUCUGAAGGUCGUGCAGCUGAAGACGGGGGAGGGUUCUAGUUUGAGUGCCCUGCAGCUGAAGACUCGGGAAGGAGCUGAUGUUGUCCUUGUUUUACGAUCUUUCAGCUGGAGACUCAAAGAGGAGCUGAUGUUGUUCUAAUUUGAGUGUAAUGGAGCUGGAGACCCGGGGUGGAGCUGAUGUUGUUCUAGUUUGAGUGUUGUGCAGCUGGAGAUCCAAGAAGGAGGUGGUCUUGUGGUUCAAAUCUGAGGGUCCUGGAGCUGGAAUCUAUGGGAGGAGUCAAUGCUGCCACUGAUGUCUUAGAUUGUGCAGCAGAAGACCCACAGAGGAGCCGGUGUUGGUGUUCUAGUGUGAGGGUGUGGAUCUGGAGAUCCAUGGGGGAGUGACGUUCUUCUAGUUUUUGGGUUGUGGUGCUGGAGACCCAGGGAGGAGCUCAUGGUGUUCUAGUUGAGGGUCGUGGUGCUGGAGACCCAGGGAGGAGUCGAUCCUUCUGUUGUUUAAGUCUGAAGGUCAUCGAGCUGGAGAUCCGGGGAAGAGCUGGUGCUGCGGUUCAAGUCUGAGGGUCGUCAAGCUGGAGAUCCGGGGAAGAGCUGGUGCUGCGAUUCAAGUCUGAGGGUCCUGGAGCUUGAGACCCCAGGAGGAGAUGGUGCUGCCACUAAUGUCUUAGAUUGUAAAGCUGGAGAUCUGUGGAGGAGCUGGUGUUUCUGUUCUAGUGUAAGGUUUGUGGAUCUGGAGUCCCAGGGGUGAGCAGUGUUGUUUUAGUUUGAGGGUCAUGGAGUUAGAGACCCGGGGAGGAGCUGAUGUUGUAGUUUGAGGGUCGUGCAGCUGGAGACCCAGGGAGGAGCUGGUGUGUUUCUAGUUGGAGGGUUGUGGAGCUGGAGAUUCAC
This 2310-nucleotide long non-coding RNA is filed under the name Homo sapiens (human). RNAcentral's name for it is "HSALNT0050156". The record is from RNAcentral. Lineage: Eukaryota; Metazoa; Chordata; Mammalia; Primates; Hominidae.